RNAcentral lists this ribosomal RNA (486 nucleotides) under uncultured bacterium. RNAcentral describes it as "bacterial SSU rRNA". It matches the Rfam family "Bacterial small subunit ribosomal RNA", at positions 22 to 518 of the family's 1533-position model. The record is from RNAcentral.
GGUCAGGACGAACGCUGGCGGCGUGCUUAACACAUGCAAGUCGAACGAUGACGAUGGUGCUUGCACCGUCUGAUUAGUGGCGAACGGGUGAGUAACACGUGAGUAACCUGCCCUCCUCUUCGGGAUAACCGCCGGAAACGGUGGCUAAUACCGGAUAUGAAUGCCUGCCGCAUGGUGGGUGUUGGAAAGAUUUAUCGGUGGGGGAUGGACUCGCGGCCUAUCAGUUUGUUGGUGAGGUAAUGGCUCACCAAGGCGAUGACGGGUAGCCGGCCUGAGAGGGCGACCGGCCACACUGGGACUGAGACACGGCCCAGACUCCUACGGGAGGCAGCAGUGGGGAAUAUUGCACAAUGGGCGAAAGCCUGAUGCCAGCGACGCCGCGUGGGGGAUGACGGCCUUCGGGUUGUAAACCUCUUUCAGCAGGGAAGAAGCGAGAGUGACGGUACCUGCAGAAGAAGCGCCGGCUAACUACGUGCCAGCCGCUGC